RNAcentral lists this long non-coding RNA (1146 nucleotides) under Dermacentor andersoni. Its description in RNAcentral is "uncharacterized LOC126534145". The record is from RNAcentral. Lineage: Eukaryota; Metazoa; Arthropoda; Arachnida; Ixodida; Ixodidae.
UUUCGACCGCGUCGUACCAUUCAAAAGUGGCGAGGCCGUAACCCACACCAGUGUCCACAUAAUGGAGGAGCCAGCAGAAAUGCAGGGAAACCUUGAAUGACUGCCAUAGCGCAGUGUGUAAUCUGAUUGCUUGGUUCAGGUACACCUAGCAAAUGUAUACAUUGACGAGGAGUGGCACCUGCUCUAGUGCCAUGGCUAGGACUCCCUGUUCUGCAAAGAACUGGCGAAACUGGUGUGCGGAGUUCUGGCACUCAGGAUAGGAGCAUCACAGGGGCUCUUUGGUGGUGCUUCCUGAACGACCGCAAUUUCAUUGAGAAGUCGGCAUUGAGCCUCCAUAAAUUGGAAGCUGUGGACAGUAUCAUCGACAUUGUUUCAAAUUUGUUUGUGUAAUGUUUGUAACAAUACAUGUAUUACAGCGAAAUGAUUAAUUUUCCAGAUGCACUUGAUGCAUAUCUUUCGAGAUGUGGUGCCCCUGAGGAGGAGAAAUCGCGGUGCUCAAAAUGGACCGUAGCCUAGCAGACAUGCUGAGAGAAAUUAAGUAAGCGUGUAAUUGCAAACAUGUGUACAUGCAGUAAACCUCAUUAAUUUGAACUCGUGGGGGCCAUGCGAAAUGUCAGGACUAAGCAAACGCAACCAAAAUGGUUUAAAAUAUAUAUUUAUGUUUCGGCUUCCCACGGGAGCCUUGUUCACAAUGAAACCAGCAGCAGAGUAGGUAACGUUCUUAUCUGCAGCUCAAAACAUGAUUAAGGUACUUGGCAUACAUGGACAUGGAUGAUUAGAGAUUCAAGAUAAAGACGCGUAAAAUGAUUUCAUUCCUUAACAAUCAAGCGAUAUUUUUCCUAGCUAAUUGUGACGUAGUUGCGCAGUGCUUGGCCAGGGCAUUCGAUGCAAAGUAUCGUUUCUGGACAUCAUUCCUGUGCUGUUGAAGUCUUUUUUUGGAGUUGCCGGUUUCUCCGAUGUAGACGUACCGACAGUUCGCACACCGAAGGACCUACACUACGCCUGGGAACUUGCCCUUUUCCGAACGGUCUUUCACAUGCAUGAGCUCGUGUUUACGUUUUGGAACGUGCACAGCCUGCACAUCAUAUGACCACAACGCAUGCAAGGGUCUCGCUUAUGCAGGGGACCUAUGGUAUUGAAGCCCAU